UGCUGAUGACGUUGAAACACGAGAACGCCAAGACAGUGCUGUUGACCAGCGACAAGUGAAUUCAGGUCAUUGCUUGUGCGACCUUCCUUCUGAUAUAUUGAAGCAUAUUUUUCAAUUCUUCAAAGUGCAAGAUUGCCUGAACAUUGUAGCACGUGUUUGUAGACGUUUUUAUAAAAUAGUGAAUGAUUCUGGG
Molecule: long non-coding RNA, 193 nt
Organism: Stylophora pistillata
Lineage: Eukaryota; Metazoa; Cnidaria; Anthozoa; Scleractinia; Pocilloporidae
Source: RefSeq, a predicted model, not a curated record